This 253-nucleotide ribosomal RNA is filed under the name uncultured bacterium. Its description in RNAcentral is "partial 16S ribosomal RNA". It matches the Rfam family "Bacterial small subunit ribosomal RNA", at positions 524 to 776 of the family's 1533-position model. The record is from RNAcentral.
GACGGAGGAGGCAAGCGUUAUCCGGAAUUACUGGGCGUAAAGCGUGCGCAGGCGGUUUUGUAAGCCAGAUGUGAAAUCCCCGGGCUUAACCUGGGAAUGGCAUUUGGGACUGCAAGGCUUGAGUGCGGCAGAGGAGACUGGAAUUCCUGGUGUAGCAGUGAAAUGCGUAGAUAUCAGGAGGAAUACCGAUGGCGAAGGCAGGUCUCUGGGCUGACACUGACGCUCAUGCACGAAAGCGUGGGGAGCAAACAGG